This 69-nucleotide transfer RNA is filed under the name Aclees cribratus. RNAcentral describes it as "tRNA-Gln". RNAcentral also lists the same sequence under 1 other name. The record is from RNAcentral. Lineage: Eukaryota; Metazoa; Arthropoda; Insecta; Coleoptera; Curculionidae.
UAUAUCUUAGUAUAUGAUGUAUAAAGAUUUUUGAUAUCUUAGGAAAUAGUUUAAGUCUAUUAGAUAUAU